RNAcentral lists this transfer RNA (79 nucleotides) under Bacillus anthracis str. Sterne. RNAcentral describes it as "tRNA-Phe". It matches the Rfam family "tRNA". From Rfam's summary of the family: Transfer RNA (tRNA) molecules are approximately 80 nucleotides in length. The record is from RNAcentral. Lineage: Bacteria; Bacillati; Bacillota; Bacilli; Caryophanales; Bacillaceae.
GGCUCGGUAGCUCAGUCGGUAGAGCAGAGGACUGAAAAUCCUCGUGUCGGCGGUUCGAUUCCGUCCCGAUCCACCAUUU